CACAACACCCGGUGCCAAGCAGGUGUUCAGAGCUGAGAACGGUUGGAAAACUGGAUGGAAACAGCCGGGCCUCGAAGUGGGCAGUGGUGUGGCGAUUGAGGUGCUGACAGCUGAGCCAUUCCACACACCUUUGGGGCAAAGAAGUGCCGGAAGCCAGGGCCAAGUUCAAAGACCAAACAUUCUUUCCAAGGCGACCAGAAGCACCCUGGAGGGCUGGCUCCUAGUUACAUAAACCGCAGUCCCGUCCCACUGUCCCAGAGCUGUUGAGGAGACGCUGAGGAUUGAAAAGGUGCAGACCGUUCCUGCUCGUCUCCGACACAUUUCCCAGGACUCCCAGCUCCGCCUGUCAGCAAGGAAGGGUGCGAUCAGGGGUACUUGGGAGCAGGGGAGCCAAGCCUCUAGACACAGGCAAUGUCAAUAACAGCAACGGAUAACCAAGAGGAAUAAGCCAAACACGGACGGAGAAGGAUCAGGAUCAGUCCGACACCGGGAUCACUGUCUGAAACCACUGGCCACCCUCUGCAGGCUGGAGAGGUGGUGACAGCUGAGCCAUGAUGGAGAUGAGGAAGUUACAUUAUUUCCUGGCCCUGACCACUAGCUGGAGUCAAUACUUGGAUGGUGCUCCAUGCAGAUGGUCCCUGCCAAGCAGAAUGAGUCUCCAGCAUAUGGUUAACAGUAGCAACUAUGACUCUGACGUCAUCUCAUGUGCAGGGGGUGUAGGGAGAGACAGGAGCUGCACUCUGAAGCUAGAAUACUGAGUUCAAAUCCCAACGUUGUUCCUCAUGACCAUCAACAAGUUCCUUAGCUUCUCUGUGGCUCAAUUUCCUGCUUUUUAAAAGGAAUUUAAUGUAUUGCUUAAAAGUAAGUGACUUCAGAAGGCAUCUGUGACAUCAAACAGUAUUUGUGACAUUUUGUGAGGUUCUUCUUCACCCUCCUCUGGUUUUGAUUUUUGUUUUUUGUCUUUUUUUUUUUUUUGAGACAGGAUUCUUCUGUGUAGCCUUGGCUGUCCUGGAGCUCCUCUGUAGCCUAGGCUGGCCUUGAACUCACAGAGAUCUGCUUGCCUCUACCUCCUGAGUGCUAAGAUUAAAGGCGAUCACCAUCACCACCUAGCUCUGUUUCUUACUUUACAUGCAUGAUGAACUCAACAGUCAUUAAAAAAAAGCGUUCUGUAAGCUAGGUGGUGGUGGCACACACGUUUAAUCCCAGUCCUGGAGGCAGAGGCAGAGGACAGCCUGGGCUAUACAGUAAAAAUUCCAGGACAACCAGGACUACACAGAGAAACCCUGCCUCAAAAACAAACAAAUAAACAAAAUGUUGUAGUGUUGUAUAUAUGAAAAUGUCACAGUGUCACCCAUUACUAUGUAUAAUUAAUUUUUGCUAAUAAAAUGUCACGCCUAUCAUAUGGA
This 1406-nucleotide small RNA is filed under the name Rattus norvegicus (Norway rat). RNAcentral describes it as "uncharacterized LOC100912143". Lineage: Eukaryota; Metazoa; Chordata; Mammalia; Rodentia; Muridae. The record is from RNAcentral.